CCUACGGGAGGCUGCAGUGGGGAAUAUUGGACAAUGGGGGCAACCCUGAUCCAGCCAUGCCGCGUGUGUGAAGAAGGCCCUCGGGUUGUAAAGCACUUUCAGUGAGGAAGAACGCCUGGUGGUUAAUACCCAUCAGGAAAGACAUCACUCACAGAAGAAGCACCGGCUAACUCCGUGCCAGCAGCCGCGGUAAUACGGAGGGUGCGAGCGUUAAUCGGAAUUACUGGGCGUAAAGCGCGCGUAGGUGGCUUGAUAAGCCGGUUGUGAAAGCCCCGGGCUCAACCUGGGAACGGCAUCCGGAACUGUGAAGCUAGAGUGCAGGAGAGGAAGGUAGAAUUCCCGGUGUAGCGGUGAAAUGCGUAGAGAUCGGGAGGAAUACCAGUGGCGAAGGCGGCCUUCUGGACUGACACUGACACUGAGGUGCGAAAGCGUGGGUAGCAAACAGGAUUAGAUACCCUAGUAGUC
RNAcentral lists this ribosomal RNA (465 nucleotides) under Vreelandella stevensii. RNAcentral describes it as "partial 16S ribosomal RNA". It matches the Rfam family "Bacterial small subunit ribosomal RNA", at positions 338 to 795 of the family's 1533-position model. The record is from RNAcentral. Lineage: Bacteria; Pseudomonadati; Pseudomonadota; Gammaproteobacteria; Oceanospirillales; Halomonadaceae.